This 433-nucleotide ribosomal RNA is filed under the name uncultured bacterium. RNAcentral describes it as "partial 16S ribosomal RNA". It matches the Rfam family "Bacterial small subunit ribosomal RNA", at positions 29 to 507 of the family's 1533-position model. The record is from RNAcentral.
AGCGAACGCUGGCGGCAGGCUUAACACAUGCAAGUCGAGCGGACCUUUCGGGGUCAGCGGCGGACGGGUGAGUAACGCGUGGGAACGUGCCUUCCGGUUCGGAAUAACCCUGGGAAACUAGGGCUAAUACCGGAUACGCCCUUAUGGGGAAAGGUUUACUGCCGGAAGAUCGGCCCGCGUCUGAUUAGCUGGUUGGUGGGGUAACGGCCUACCACGGCGACGAUCAGUAGCUGGUCUGAGAGGAUGAUCAGCCACACUGGGACUGAGACACGGCCCAGACUCCUACGGGAGGCAGCAGUGGGGAAUAUUGGACAAUGGGCGCAAGCCUGAUCCAGCCAUGCCGCGUGAGUGAUGAAGGCCUUAGGGUUGUAAAGCUCUUUUAUCCGGGACGAUAAUGACGGUACCGGAGGAAUAAGCCCCGGCUAACUUCGUG